UNGGAGCUCUCCCAUAUGGUCGACCUGCAGGCGGCCGCGAAUUCACUAGUGAUUAGAGUUUGAUCCUGGCUCAGGAUGAACGCUGGCGGCGUGCCUAACACAUGCAAGUCGAACGAAGCAAUCAGAAUGAAAUUUUCGGAUGGAUUACUGGUUGACUGAGUGGCGGACGGGUGAGUAACGCGUGGAUAACCUGCCUCACACUGGGGGAUAACAGUUAGAAAUGGCUGCUAAUACCGCAUAAGCGCACAGUACCGCAUGGUACGGUGUGAAAAACUCCGGUGGUGUGAGAUGGAUCCGCGUCUGAUUAGUUAGUUGGCGGGGUAACGGCCCACCAAGACAGCGAUCAGUAGCCGACCUGAGAGGGUGACCGGCCACAUUGGGACUGAGACACGGCCCAAACUCCUACGGGAGGCAGCAGUGGGGAAUAUUGCACAAUGGGCGAAAGCCUGAUGCAGCGACGCCGCGUGAGUGAAGAAGUAUUUCGGUAUGUAAAGCUCUAUCAGCAGGGAAGAAACUGACGGUACCUGACUAAGAAGCCCCGGCUAACUACGUGCCAGCAGCCGCGGUAAUACGUAGGGGGCAAGCGUUAUCCGGAUUUACUGGGUGUAAAGGGAGCGUAGACGGCGAAGCAAGUCUGGAGUGAAAACCCAGGGCUCAACCCUGGGACUGCUUUGGAAACUGUUUUGCUAGAGUGUCGGAGAGGUAAGUGGAAUUCCUAGUGUAGCGGUGAAAUGCGUAGAUAUUAGGAGGAACACCAGUGGCGANNCGGCUUACUGGACGAUAACUGACGUUGAGGCUCGAAAGCGUGGGGAGCAAACAGGAUUAGAUACCCUGGNAGUCCACGCCGUAAACGAUGAAUGCUAGGUGUUGGGGGGCAAAGCCCUUCGGUGCCGNCGCAAACGCNAUAAGCAUUCCNCCUGGGGANUACGUUCGCAANA
This 938-nucleotide ribosomal RNA is filed under the name uncultured Lachnoclostridium sp. RNAcentral's name for it is "bacterial SSU rRNA". It matches the Rfam family "Bacterial small subunit ribosomal RNA", at positions 1 to 893 of the family's 1533-position model. Lineage: Bacteria; Bacillati; Bacillota; Clostridia; Lachnospirales; Lachnospiraceae. The record is from RNAcentral.